UUUAUUAAGAAAAAUUGAGAAGCUCAACACGAGAGHGGAAAAAGAAAUAAUAGUAACUUGGUCCCGGGCAUCUACCAUUAUACCCACAAUGAUCGGCCACACUAUGGGAGCUGGCCAUGCCCGAAGUCGUUACCUUAACCGCAAGGAGGGGGAUGCCGAAGGCAGGGCUAGUGACUGGAGUGAAGUUGUAACAAGGUAGCCGUACUGGAAGGUGCGGCUGGAUCACCUCCUUU
Molecule: non-coding RNA, 233 nt
Filed under: Nelumbo nucifera (sacred lotus)
Lineage: Eukaryota; Viridiplantae; Streptophyta; Magnoliopsida; Proteales; Nelumbonaceae
Source: Rfam by way of RNAcentral